ACUCCCUGUUUCAUUGUUUGGCUAACUUUUUUCAAUUGUUAUUGGGAUCUCUCAUGGUUUGUUAAAUUAAAUUACCUUUUCUGCUUAUUUCCUCAUUAGUUAUGAGCUGGAAAGCCGAAAGCCCUUGAACGAUGUCCUCCCCUGCUAAGUUCUGCUGCGGCCAAGUUCUCGAAGAAAGAUCUCACUAUCUCAGGCCCUCCGCAUAAUUACUUUUACCGGGUUUCUUUAUGCUAAAUACAAGAGCAGUAUGGAUUUUCACUUAGGGUGGACAGUCUCAAUUUCUCUGAAUAGGGUAAACAUAUUCUUUACGUGCCUUUUAAACAAGCAUCUGGUCAUUCAACUACAUGUCAAGUUUUCACUUAGGGUGGACGGUCUACUUUCUGGAUGCGUCAUCCUCAGCUGAUUUUUUGGAGCGAUGAAUAAUUGCGAUGAUAAAUUUGUUCCAGAGACCAGUUUCUGAAGAGAAAACUAACAAAGGAAUGGAAUUGAUCGAAUGAUGCACACAAGCAGCUUGGGAGAAGGAAGCAUGUUGAACUUCAAAUUUUCUGAUGGAGUUCAGAGUUCUUUAAAAAAGGAUCGCAGUAACUUAAUUCCUCUCUGAGAGCAAAGAGCAUUAGAGUUAGCAGACUCUGAGGAUCUACGAACUUCUGUGUACAGUAAGAUCAUAUUUCAAACAAAUCUAUGAUUGGAGUUUGUCGUCA
Molecule: long non-coding RNA, 701 nt
Organism: Brassica napus (rape)
Lineage: Eukaryota; Viridiplantae; Streptophyta; Magnoliopsida; Brassicales; Brassicaceae
Exons: 4
Source: RefSeq, a predicted model, not a curated record